Molecule: ribosomal RNA, 405 nt
Filed under: uncultured bacterium
Lineage: Bacteria
Description: bacterial SSU rRNA
Rfam family: Bacterial small subunit ribosomal RNA
Source: RNAcentral
CGUGUAUGAAGUAAGGCCUUCGGGUUGUAAAGUACUUUCAGUCAGUGAGGAAGGUGGAUUAUGUUAAUAGCAUAUUCAUUUGACGUUUAGCUGCAGAAGAAGCACCGGCUAACUCCGUGCCAGCAGCCGCGGUAAUACGGAGGGUGCGAGCGUUAAUCGGAAUUACUGGGCGUAAAGCGCAUGCAGGUGGUUUGUUAAGUCAGAUGUGAAAGCCCGGGGCUCAACCUCGGAAUUGCAUUUGAAACUGGCAAACUAGAGUACUGUAGAGGGGGUAGAAUUUCAGGUGUAGCGGUGAAAUGCGUAGAGAUCUGAAGGAAUACCGGUGGCGAAGGCGGCCCCCCUGGACAGAUACUGACACUCAGAUGCGAAAGCGUGGGGAGCAAACAGGAUUAGAUACCCUGGUAG